AAUCUUUGUGGUUUGGGUCAAUCUUAGUGGCUUUAGCCAAAUUUGUGUGGAGAAAGCUCUUCACCAAGUAAGCUCUUAGUUUGAUUUUGUAAUUUUCUAAUAUGAAGAUUAGUAGAUUGAUCAGCAUUGUCGGAAGAUGUAGGUUCCUUGAAGAAGAAUAUAUGCUUCCCUUGAAAUUAGUAUGUAUAGUGAUGAAGAAAUGAGAGUUUUGGAUCGAAUCAAAGAUUUAGCAGAAAUUAAGUUUAAAGUAAUUAGUACUUGGCAUCUACUACAUGGAUGCCUAGUAACUGGGAUGAAAAUGACUUUGAUGAAGAAGAGGACAAAAAAGAAGAUAACCACAAAGAAAUGCAUCUCAAUGUGGAGAACAUAUGUUAUAAGGGUUACCACAAAAUUGAGUAAGGAAGCUGUAAUGGCAAAGCUGAAGCAAAGGAAGUAUAGUUCCUUCAUCAUAGUUGUAUUUGUCAAGUGGAGUAUGCAUUAGACAAAAAAAAAAAAAAAAAAAGAAGCAAGGGAAAAAGAAAAACUCAAAUGCCUUCUACAAUGGCUUGUCUUGGGGAACUUAUCCCUCAUAAGCAUAGUCAUGUGGCUUCCAUGAUUGAGAGAGACAUUAUUGACUUCCUAGUUUUCUUGCCAUCUUUGCCAUUCAUUUCUUCUAUGUGAAUUUUACUUCAGUGGCUUAUGAAAACACAAGGAAGUAUUGUAAUAGUAGUUUAAUGAACUAUGUUGGCAUUUGUUGACUUGUUACUUAUUUCUUAAAAUUUUCAACUGAAUAGAAAAAAACCAAACUAUUUGAAUUUUUUUAA
This is a long non-coding RNA of Vitis vinifera (wine grape), 803 nucleotides long. RefSeq lists it as uncharacterized. The record is from RefSeq and is a predicted model, not a curated record. The transcript is spliced from 5 exons. Lineage: Eukaryota; Viridiplantae; Streptophyta; Magnoliopsida; Vitales; Vitaceae.